UUACCUCUUAGGGUUUCCUCUGGGGUAAGUGAUUGCUUCUACACUGUGAAAAUUUGGCUGAGAGACUCAGACUGGUCAUGGGUAGACCUAUCUGGGGUUUGAUCGAUGCCACUCCUGGUUUCAGGAGCACCCUUCAUAAUAAACCUAGAAAUUCAGUAUUAUAAAGUUUAAUAAAAAACAACUUUUAACAAUGGAUCUCUUGGUUCUCGCAUCGAUGAAGAACGUAGCAAAGUGCGAUAACUAGUGUGAAUUGCAUAUUCAGUGAAUCAUCGAGUCUUUGAACGCAGCUUGCACUCUAUGGUUUUUCUAUAGAGUACGCCUGCUUCAGUAUCAUCACAAACCCACACAUAACAUUUGUUUAUGUGGUAAUGGGUCGCAUCGCUGUUUUAUUACAGUGAGCACCUAAAAUGUGUGUGAUUUUCUGUCUGGCUUGCUAGGCAGGAAUAUUACGCUGGUCUCAGGAUCUUUUUCUUUGGUUCGCCCAGGAAGUAAAGUACAAGAGUAUAAUCCAGCAACUUCAAACUAUGAU
RNAcentral lists this ribosomal RNA (529 nucleotides) under Rhizopus arrhizus. RNAcentral's name for it is "eukaryotic LSU rRNA". The stretch from base 180 to 333 matches the Rfam family "5.8S ribosomal RNA". RNAcentral also lists the same sequence under 1 other name. The record is from RNAcentral. Lineage: Eukaryota; Fungi; Mucoromycota; Mucoromycetes; Mucorales; Rhizopodaceae.